UGGGGCGUAGCUCAACGGUAGAGCUCUUGCCUAACAUGUGUGAGCCCUGGGUUUAACUCCCAGUACCACAG
RNAcentral lists this transfer RNA (71 nucleotides) under Heterocephalus glaber (naked mole-rat). It matches the Rfam family "tRNA". Rfam says of the family: Transfer RNA (tRNA) molecules are approximately 80 nucleotides in length. Their secondary structure includes four short double-helical elements and three loops (D, anti-codon, and T loops). Further hydrogen bonds mediate the characteristic L-shaped molecular structure. tRNAs have two regions of fundamental functional importance: the anti-codon, which is responsible for specific mRNA codon recognition, and the 3' end, to which the tRNAs corresponding amino acid is attached (by aminoacyl-tRNA synthetases). tRNAs cope with the degeneracy of the genetic code in two manners: having more than one tRNA (with a specific anti-codon) for a particular amino acid; and 'wobble' base-pairing, i.e. permitting non-standard base-pairing at the 3rd anti-codon position. Lineage: Eukaryota; Metazoa; Chordata; Mammalia; Rodentia; Bathyergidae. The record is from Rfam by way of RNAcentral.